GGGAGGCGGGCGACUGCCACCCAGGGCCGGAAAGUUACCCAAACUCGGUCAUUUAGAGGAAGUAAAAGUCGUAACAAGGUCUCCGUUGGUGAACCAGCGGAGGGAUCAUU
Molecule: ribosomal RNA, 110 nt
Filed under: Phaeoisaria clematidis
Lineage: Eukaryota; Fungi; Ascomycota; Sordariomycetes; Pleurotheciales; Pleurotheciaceae
Description: partial 18S ribosomal RNA
Rfam family: Eukaryotic small subunit ribosomal RNA
Source: RNAcentral